ACUCCUACGGGAGGCAGCAGUAAGGAAUAUUGCGCAAUGGGCGAAAGCCUGACGCAGCGACGCCGCGUGGGGGAUGAAGGUCUUCGGAUUGUAAACCCCUUUCGGGAGGGAAGAUGGAGCGAGCAAUCGUUCGGACGGUACCUCCAGAAGCAGCCACGGCCAACUUCGUGCCAGCAGCCGCGGUAAUACGAAGGUGGCAAGCGUUGUUCGGAUUCACUGGGCGUACAGGGUGUGUAGGCGGUUUGGUAAGCCUUCUGUUAAAGCUUCGGGCCCAACCCGGAAAGCGCAGAGGGUACUGCCAGGCUAGAGGGUGGGAGA
This 318-nucleotide ribosomal RNA is filed under the name uncultured Nitrospira sp. RNAcentral describes it as "bacterial SSU rRNA". It matches the Rfam family "Bacterial small subunit ribosomal RNA", at positions 335 to 655 of the family's 1533-position model. The record is from RNAcentral. Lineage: Bacteria; Pseudomonadati; Nitrospirota; Nitrospiria; Nitrospirales; Nitrospiraceae.